CCUGGUAGCUCAGAUGGUAAAGCAUCUGACUGCAAUGCAGGAGAUCUGGGUUCAAUCCCUAGGUCAGGA
Molecule: transfer RNA, 69 nt
Filed under: Bos taurus (domestic cattle)
Lineage: Eukaryota; Metazoa; Chordata; Mammalia; Artiodactyla; Bovidae
Also listed under: 4 other names
Rfam family: tRNA
About the family: Transfer RNA (tRNA) molecules are approximately 80 nucleotides in length. Their secondary structure includes four short double-helical elements and three loops (D, anti-codon, and T loops).
Source: Rfam by way of RNAcentral